UUUGCAUCCAAAGUAGAGAUGGCGACCGGCGCACGGGUGAGUAACACGUAUCCAACCUGCCGAUAACUCGGGGAUAGCCUUUCGAAAGAAAGAUUAAUAUCCGAUAGUAUAUGAAUAUCGCAUGAUAUUAUUAUUAAAGAAUUUCGGUUAUCGAUGGGGAUGCGUUCCAUUAGUUUGUUGGCGGGGUAACGGCCCACCAAGACUACGAUGGAUAGGGGUUCUGAGAGGAAGGUCCCCCACAUUGGAACUGAGACACGGUCCAAACUCCUACGGGAGGCAGCAGUGAGGAAUAUUGGUCAAUGGACGAGAGUCUGAACCAGCCAAGUAGCGUGAAGGAUGACUGCUCUAUGGGUCGUAAACUUCUUUUAUAUGGGAAUAAAGUAUUCCACGUGUGGAAUUUUGUAUGUACCAUAUGAAUAAGGAUCGGCUAACUCCGUGCCAGCAGCCGCGGUAAUACGGAGGAUCCGAGCGUUAUCCGGAUUUAUUGGGUUUAAAGGGAGCGUAGGUGGAUUGUUAAGUCAGUUGUGAAAGUUUGCGGCUCAACCGUAAAAUUGCAGUUGAAACUGGCAGUCUUGAGUACAGUAGAGGUGGGCGGAAU
This 598-nucleotide ribosomal RNA is filed under the name Bacteroides sp. Its description in RNAcentral is "bacterial SSU rRNA". It matches the Rfam family "Bacterial small subunit ribosomal RNA", at positions 75 to 667 of the family's 1533-position model. The record is from RNAcentral. Lineage: Bacteria; Pseudomonadati; Bacteroidota; Bacteroidia; Bacteroidales; Bacteroidaceae.